AACGAACGCUGGCGGCAGGUCUUAGGCAUGCAAGUCGAACGAGAUCUUCGGAUCUAGUGGCGCACGGGUGCGUAACGCGUGGGAAUCUGCCCUUGGGUUCGGAAUAACUCAGAGAAAUUUGAGCUAAUACCGGAUGAUGACGUAAGUCCAAAGAUUUAUCGCCCAAGGAUGAGCCCGCGUAGGAUUAGCUAGUUGGUGAGGUAAAGGCUCACCAAGGCGACGAUCCUUAGCUGGUCUGAGAGGAUGAUCAGCCACACUGGGACUGAGACACGGCCCAGACUCCUACGGGAGGCAGCAGUGGGGAAUAUUGGACAAUGGGCGAAAGCCUGAUCCAGCAAUGCCGCGUGAGUGAUGAAGGCCUUAGGGUUGUAAAGCUCUUUUACCCGGGAUGAUAAUGACAGUACCGGGAGAAUAAGCUCCGGCUAACUCCGUGCCAGCCGCCGCCGUAA
This 449-nucleotide ribosomal RNA is filed under the name uncultured bacterium. Its description in RNAcentral is "partial 16S ribosomal RNA". It matches the Rfam family "Bacterial small subunit ribosomal RNA", at positions 29 to 523 of the family's 1533-position model. The record is from RNAcentral.